CAGAUGAUUCUGAUGUACGUCAGAGAAGAGCAGACAAGGAAAAGGCAGAUUUGUUAGCAGAAAAAGAACGGCUUGUUAGAGAAGUAGAUAUGCUCACUCAAAGAGCCAAUUUAUUGCAAAGACAAGUGGAUAAGUUGCAGGGAGGAGUGAAACCUUCCACUAGUUUCUGGAGUGGAGAAGAGCUCAGUCGAAACCUCCAACUGCCAACAUCAAACCCAUGGCUGGUCCUUCAUCUUCAGUGACUAAACAACAACCGACACAACAUUCUGUGACAGUGACUCCAUGGAGAGGAGGUGGUAGUGAGACUCCGUUUGCCAGUAUCCGGCCAAUGUCCUUGCAGUCCCGCACUGUGGCUGU
Homalodisca vitripennis (glassy-winged sharpshooter) is the source of this 357-nucleotide long non-coding RNA. RefSeq lists it as uncharacterized. The transcript is spliced from 3 exons. The record is from RefSeq and is a predicted model, not a curated record. Lineage: Eukaryota; Metazoa; Arthropoda; Insecta; Hemiptera; Cicadellidae.